Long non-coding RNA from Ictalurus punctatus (channel catfish), 2441 nucleotides. RefSeq lists it as uncharacterized. Lineage: Eukaryota; Metazoa; Chordata; Actinopteri; Siluriformes; Ictaluridae. The record is from RefSeq and is a predicted model, not a curated record. The transcript is spliced from 4 exons.
UGCUCGCUCGCUCGGCCUCAAGUGCGCUCUCCUCGCGCGCGACAAUCCGGUGCAGAGGAAUCCCUGAAAACAUUCCGGAAAUAAAAGGUGGGCGUAACAGAAUGCACACAGAAGCCUACAGUCUCUAGCCUGAGCUCCAGAUCUGAAGCUGAUCUGUCUCCUGGACUCCAGAUUCCUUGAAUAACUUGUCUGCAAGGUUUCAGAUGACAUAACGGGGCACAGACUUCGACAGUUGCAUGAGAACCGGCCAAACUGAGUUCCUGUAAGAGUGGGUGUGGUGUCCCAUCUGUGGUGUGUUCCCGCCUCACACCCAGUGUUCCCGGAUGGGCUCCUGGAUUCACGAUGACCCAGUCCAGGAUGGAGCAGUUAUUAAAGGUUCCAGGGGGAUCCACUUCCGUCUCCCUGUCCCAGCCCCCCACUGGAAGUUGAAGCUUUGGGAAGAACAGCUGACUGGAGGCCCUAAUGAGAGAAUAAAUUAAUUCCAGUUGUUUCAAAUCUCUCAGAGUUCUGUAGCCAAAGUUUGGCCUCUGCUUGCUUCGCAGGUUCCCUGAGGUAUCAGUGUGUAAGCUCCAAAGAUUGAAUUCCAUCAACUCAAAUGCUUUCACUUAGCUAGAGCCAAGGCAUGUUGAGGUGUAUCUUUUUUAUCACCUCCUUCAUCCAAGAGCAAAAUGUACUACACAGACAGAGAAGGCUGGCUACUGAAAAAAAGAAAUGAUUAACAGUAGAGAUGGACACUUUUGUUGUCUUAAUGUUUCCUUAAAGAAGAUUUUAACAUCUUCUACACACAGAAAAUAUGAUAAAGCAAAGUAUAAUAAUUUACAUUAACAUGACAAAUGGUAAAAAAACAAACAAAAAAACAAACAAACAAAAACACAACAAUUUGCAUCAUGCUGCUGAAAAGGAAUGAAAAACGGGUGGGCAGGGUGGUGUGAUAUGCUUUCCACCCAAAGUGUUUUAUGCCCUUUUUACCACAGCAUGUUUCCAGUGUUUACAUACUUUCAUUAAUUAAAGAAAGAUGUUUAUUUGGAGCAUCGUCCAUACAAGUCCCUGUGAAUGCGUGGUAAUGAGUUAGGAUGCAUACAUUAAUAUAAACCCUUGAUUUGAAUUACAAUUGAAACCACACCUUUCUGACCAAUCAGAUUCCAGAUUUCAGCCGUGCAGAUAUAUGAAUUAUUAUCUGCUCAGAUCGUCCAGUUCAUGAUUGCUUUGGCUGAACUCUUGCACGUGCCUCUGUGCGCUAAGUAGAGGCUUGGGUCAGGUCGGUCAUUUGUAAUGGAGACAAAAAAAAGCCCCCUCCCAACCCUAAGGCCAGUGCUCAUUUGAGACCUCCAUGCUGGAGCCUCUGUCCACUUCUUGAUAAUAUCUAAUAGAUCAAACUUAAUUAAAGGAGGUUAGUUAAAAGGCUAUGGAGGAGGCUGGUGCAGAAAUAAAAACUUCUCACAGAUUUAGAGUAACUAAAAAGAGCAAUAAGAAUGAUCAUUGUGAAGAAUGUUUUCAUUAAUCAGGCUUAUCAGGAGUAAAAAGCGAGAGGUUUUGUUUAUUCUAAGCUCUUCUGAUCAUCCUUUGACCUUUCUUAUUUUUGUUGCUGUGACUAAUUCAUGUGGCCUGUGACCUAUGCGAAGGGAAUCUCCUCGGAACUGCCACACGUCAAGUCAACGCUGUUAGGACUUAAAAGGAUUAAAUGUUUUUCUUAAACAAGUUUCUGAUAUUGAAUGACUGUGAAUGAUCCGGAAGAGGUCAGUAUAGGAGCGUGUCAAGUUAAAGACUAUAAAAACUAUCGACUACAAAGGAGGAGAGAAUAAACAAAUCAACUUGACAUUCCUACUUUACUAAAAGUGUGCUGAUUGAAUGCAGUCUGUACCUUAUUGUUCCAAUGUACAUGGAUUUCUUUACCAUUAGAAGUGUGAUUACGAAUGAUCUGAAUAACAGUUCAAAAGGCUAGCAUCGUAAUCAACGCAAAAUAAUAUCGCUGAAAUUGUUCUCGACUUGAAAUUAACAUGUUUUAUUGAAACUAAAACUAAUUCCAUAAUCAAUGAAAUUCUUUGGCAAUAAUAUUAAAAACGUAAAAUUCUUUCCUUCAAUCGCUUUGAUUUGUUAUCCCAAUGAAACCGCAAAUGAAUUAGAAUGGAAUAACUAUUACAUAAAUGUAUCUUACAUAAAUUUACAACAGCACUGUUGAAUUCUCGAUUCUGUCUGAUCAGAAGGUGUUGGUUCAUUUUCUAUAACAAUAAUUCCAGGUGUAAAUCAGAGAUUAAUAUGAGUACUUGUUUUAACAUGUUAUUGCUUCUAAAGAAACAGCUCAUUCACAGUGGCAGACGCUCCACACAAUAUUAUAAGCCUAAUAAUAAGCAGAUUUUUUUUAAUGUGCUCUCAUUUAACCCUGCUAUUAUGUUAUGGGUCAAUUUGACCCAUUUCCUCAUUUGAGGUGUUCGAAAUACUGG